Molecule: non-coding RNA, 336 nt
Organism: Salvia hispanica
Lineage: Eukaryota; Viridiplantae; Streptophyta; Magnoliopsida; Lamiales; Lamiaceae
Source: RefSeq, a predicted model, not a curated record
UGGAAUGUAUGCACAACAACCGGUCAUUUUCAACAACGAAGAUUAAAUGUGCAGCCUUACCGAAUAUUAGAGCGUGUUUCGGCACAAGUCGCCCACCCAACGCGUCUGGUUGCAAUGUUCCUUUGCGUUUUGGCGCAUCACAAUAAAAAUAGCAUGCGGGCUUCAAUUUCCGUCACUCAUUGCAAACGAACCCGUAAACGAUGGUUGUUCAUGGAGAUCUGCUGCUACCGAGAGGGUUACAUCGCGGGCUCGGGAAGUACAUGUUGAUUGCCUACUCCAUAUCCAAGUCGUCUUCACGUUUAUGGCUGAUGUAAUAUUUGUAUUUGGAAUUGUAAU